RNAcentral lists this ribosomal RNA (1444 nucleotides) under Staphylococcus aureus M0108. RNAcentral describes it as "bacterial SSU rRNA". It matches the Rfam family "Bacterial small subunit ribosomal RNA". Lineage: Bacteria; Bacillati; Bacillota; Bacilli; Caryophanales; Staphylococcaceae. The record is from RNAcentral.
CGGACGGGUGAGUAACACGUGGAUAACCUACCUAUAAGACUGGGAUAACUUCGGGAAACCGGAGCUAAUACCGGAUAAUAUUUUGAACCGCAUGGUUCAAAAGUGAAAGACGGUCUUGCUGUCACUUAUAGAUGGAUCCGCGCUGCAUUAGCUAGUUGGUAAGGUAACGGCUUACCAAGGCAACGAUGCAUAGCCGACCUGAGAGGGUGAUCGGCCACACUGGAACUGAGACACGGUCCAGACUCCUACGGGAGGCAGCAGUAGGGAAUCUUCCGCAAUGGGCGAAAGCCUGACGAAGCAACGCCGCGUGAGUGAUGAAGGUCUUCGGAUCGUAAAACUCUGUUAUUAGGGAAGAACAUAUGUGUAAGUAACUGUGCACAUCUUGACGGUACCUAAUCAGAAAGCCACGGCUAACUACGUGCCAGCAGCCGCGGUAAUACGUAGGUGGCAAGCGUUAUCCGGAAUUAUUGGGCGUAAAGCGCGCGUAGGCGGUUUUUUAAGUCUGAUGUGAAAGCCCACGGCUCAACCGUGGAGGGUCAUUGGAAACUGGAAAACUUGAGUGCAGAAGAGGAAAGUGGAAUUCCAUGUGUAGCGGUGAAAUGCGCAGAGAUAUGGAGGAACACCAGUGGCGAAGGCGACUUUCUGGUCUGUAACUGACGCUGAUGUGCGAAAGCGUGGGGAUCAAACAGGAUUAGAUACCCUGGUAGUCCACGCCGUAAACGAUGAGUGCUAAGUGUUAGGGGGUUUCCGCCCCUUAGUGCUGCAGCUAACGCAUUAAGCACUCCGCCUGGGGAGUACGACCGCAAGGUUGAAACUCAAAGGAAUUGACGGGGACCCGCACAAGCGGUGGAGCAUGUGGUUUAAUUCGAAGCAACGCGAAGAACCUUACCAAAUCUUGACAUCCUUUGACAACUCUAGAGAUAGAGCUUUCCCCUUCGGGGGACAAAGUGACAGGUGGUGCAUGGUUGUCGUCAGCUCGUGUCGUGAGAUGUUGGGUUAAGUCCCGCAACGAGCGCAACCCUUAAGCUUAGUUGCCAUCAUUAAGUUGGGCACUCUAAGUUGACUGCCGGUGACAAACCGGAGGAAGGUGGGGAUGACGUCAAAUCAUCAUGCCCCUUAUGAUUUGGGCUACACACGUGCUACAAUGGACAAUACAAAGGGCAGCGAAACCGUGAGGUCAAGCAAAUCCCAUAAAGUUGUUCUCAGUUCGGAUUGUAGUCUGCAACUCGACUACAUGAAGCUGGAAUCGCUAGUAAUCGUAGAUCAGCAUGCUACGGUGAAUACGUUCCCGGGUCUUGUACACACCGCCCGUCACACCACGAGAGUUUGUAACACCCGAAGCCGGUGGAGUAACCUUUUAGGAGCUAGCCGUCGAAGGUGGGACAAAUGAUUGGGGUGAAGUCGUAACAAGGUAGCCGUAUCGGAAGGUGCGGCUGGAUCACCU